AAAAAAAGAACAAAAUAAAUAGAUAAAAAUAUAAAGAUUUUUAUCUGAAUUAUAAAUUAUUUGAUUUGGUUUCUAACCUUUCAAAAGUUUGAUUUUAUUAUCAAACCUUUCAAUUUAUUUGAUUCAAUUCAGUCUAUGGCAUUUAAACUUUAAAUUUUGAAUGUGCCGUUUAUUUUUAUAUAUUUAAUUAAUAAAAAUAUAAUUCUCGCAACUAUAAAUUUAUAAAAAUAAGUUAUUAGUUUAAAUUUUAAUGUCAAAAUGUCAACUGACUCGAAUCAAAUAAAUUAAAAUAUUGGAUAAUAAAAUUAAAAUUUUGAAAGAUUGGAUAGUGAAAUCAAAAUGAUCUAUUUUUCAAAAUGAUCUAUAAUUCAAACAAAUAUUAUAAAUAACUUACUAGAAAUAUCCUAAUUCACAUAACUUCACCAAGACUAAUAAGAAUCACACGAUACAAAAAACUAUGAAACAUCACACAAUAGCCUUGCAAUAGUUAGAAAAGGGAUCUAUAAAUUCGUUUUCAUUUUUUUAGGUUAAUUGCAUGCAACUUUCUAUAAACAUAUCAAAUAGCAAAUAUAUUCCUAUAAAAUUCAACUUUUAAUUCAUAUCCAUACAAAAGUCCAAGGAUAUUUAUAUUUAUCCCUCUGGCUUAUUACCGUUAGAAAACUGCUUAUUUUUUUAUAGCAGAUAAGUAAAAUGUCAAUUUUGCCAUCACAAAUAUAUCCCUCGAAAAGCUCGAACUGUUAUAAUCGUGCAUAAAUAUCUUCCCAAAAAAUUUUCAAUAGUCAUCUUCUUUCUUUUUAAACCAAAUCCAAUCUAUUAUUGUUGCAAUCUCUUCUCUCACUCAUUUUUCCUUAAACAUUCUUUUAAAAAACAAAAUAAGAAAAAAUCAUAGAGAAAAUUGAAUGGGAAAUCAACACGCGAGCAACACACAUUAUCGAUGAAUAGGGACGGAAAAAUUCUAGUUAUACGGGUUCGAAACUAGCACGAAGGAUAGAGAGAAAGAGUAAGAGGAAGAAGAAAAAUUUUUAUUACUAGAGUUUUGAUUGGAAGAAGAAAGUAUAAUAUAAGAGAGCUAAAAAUAUCAAUUUGUCUCGUUGACUAACUAUGGUUAACUAAAAUUUUCUAACGGAUCCUAAUGGUAGAGAUAUAUUUAAAAAUAUUAAGACUUUUGCAGAGGAAUAUAUUUAUAAUUUUUUAUGUUUAUAGAAACUUGUAUGUAAUUUUUNUAU
Molecule: long non-coding RNA, 1226 nt
Filed under: Ananas comosus (pineapple)
Lineage: Eukaryota; Viridiplantae; Streptophyta; Magnoliopsida; Poales; Bromeliaceae
Description: long non-coding RNA (ACOM_LNC000329)
Source: RNAcentral